GAUGAACGCUGGCGGCGUGCUUAACACAUGCAAGUCGAACGGAAAGGCCGAAGCUUGCUUCGGUCCUCGAGUGGCGAACGGGUGAGUAACACGUGGGUGAUCUGCCCUGUACUUCGGGAUAAGCUUGGGAAACUGGGUCUAAUACCGGAUAUGACAAUCUCUUGGAUGGGGUUGUGGAAAGCUUUUGCGGUAUGGGAUGAGCUCGCGGCCUAUCAGCUUGUUGGUGGGGUAAUGGCCUACCAAGGCGUCGACGGGUAGCCGGCCUGAGAGGGUGUACGGCCACAUUGGGACUGAGAUACGGCCCAGACUCCUACGGGAGGCAGCAGUGGGGAAUAUUGCACAAUGGGCGCAAGCCUGAUGCAGCGACGCCGCGUGGGGGAUGACGGCCUUCGGGUUGUAAACUCCUUUCGCAACCGACGAAGCUUUUGUGACGGUAGGUUGAGAAGAAGCACCGGCUAACUACGUG
This 466-nucleotide ribosomal RNA is filed under the name uncultured bacterium. RNAcentral describes it as "partial 16S ribosomal RNA". It matches the Rfam family "Bacterial small subunit ribosomal RNA", at positions 28 to 507 of the family's 1533-position model. The record is from RNAcentral.